RNAcentral lists this ribosomal RNA (588 nucleotides) under uncultured bacterium. RNAcentral's name for it is "bacterial SSU rRNA". It matches the Rfam family "Bacterial small subunit ribosomal RNA", at positions 125 to 731 of the family's 1533-position model. The record is from RNAcentral.
CCUGCCUAGUACUGGGGGAUAACACUUAGAAAUAGGUGCUAAUACCGCAUAAGCGCACAGUUCUGCAUGGAACAGUGUGAAAAACUGAGGUGGUAUAAGAUGGACCCGCGUCUGAUUAGCUAGUUGGUGGGGUAACGGCCCACCAAGGCGACGAUCAGUAGCCGGCCUGAGAGGGUGAACGGCCACAUUGGAACUGAGACACGGUCCAAACUCCUACGGGAGGCAGCAGUGGGGGAUAUUGCACAAUGGGGGAAACCCUGAUGCAGCGACGCCGCGUGAGUGAAGAAGUAUUUCGGUAUGUAAAGCUCUAUCAGCAGGAAAGAUAAUGACGGUACCUGACUAAGAAGCACCGGCUAAAUACGUGCCAGCAGCCGCGGUAAUACGUAUGGUGCAAGCGUUAUCCGGAUUUACUGGGUGUAAAGGGAGCGCAGACGGCAUGGCAAGCCAGAUGUGAAAGGUGGGGGCUCAACCCCCAAGCUGCAUUUGGAACUGUCAAGCUAGAGUAUCGGAGAGGUAAGUGGAAUUCCUAGUGUAGCGGUGAAAUGCGUAGAUAUUAGGAGGAACACCAGUGGCGAAGGCGGCUUACUG